This 693-nucleotide ribosomal RNA is filed under the name uncultured Thiomicrospira sp. RNAcentral describes it as "bacterial SSU rRNA". It matches the Rfam family "Bacterial small subunit ribosomal RNA", at positions 35 to 748 of the family's 1533-position model. Lineage: Bacteria; Pseudomonadati; Pseudomonadota; Gammaproteobacteria; Thiotrichales; Piscirickettsiaceae. The record is from RNAcentral.
GCUGGCGGCGUGCCUAACACAUGCAAGUCGAACGAUGAAGAGCAGCUUGCUGCUCGGAUUAGUGGCGCACGGGUGAGUAAUGCAUAGAUAAUGUGCCCCUUAGUUCGGGAUAGCCACUGGAAACGGUGAUUAAUACCGGAUACUCCUUCUUGCCUCAAGGUAAGUCGGGAAAGUUUUUCGCUAAGGGAUCAGUCUAUGUCCUAUCAGCUAGUUGGUGAGGUAAUGGCUCACCAAGGCUAUGACAGGUAUCUGGUUUGAGAGGAUGAUCAGACACACUGGAACUGAGACACGGUCCAGACUCCUACGGGAGGCAGCAGUGAGGAAUAUUGCACAAUGGAGGAAACUCUGAUGCAGCAACGCCGCGUGGAGGAUGACGCAUUUCGGUGUGUAAACUCCUUUUAUUAGGGAAGAUAAUGACGGUACCUAAUGAAUAAGCACCGGCUAACUCCGUGCCAGCAGCCGCGGUAAUACGGAGGGUGCAAGCGUUACUCGGAAUCACUGGGCGUAAAGGGUGCGUAGGCUGGCUUUUAAGUCAGGUGUGAAAUCCAAUGGCUCAACCAUUGAACUGCACUUGAAACUGAAAGCCUAGAGUUCAGAAGGGGCAGAUGGAAUUAGUGGUGUAGGGGUAAAAUCCGUAGAUAUCACUAGGAAUAUCAAAAGCGAAGGCGAUCUGCUGGGAUGAUACUGAUGCUG